GCCUUGACUUCCUCCCAGGCAAGAACCAAGAGUGCUGUGUUUCAUUUAUUGUUGAGUCAUUCAGUUGACACUCCUAUUCUCAGUGCCUUACAUCUUAAGAUUAAGUUUGAACAGCAUGCAUUUAGUGCCUAUUAUCCUUUAAAAACAUUGAUAUGUGUUUCUUAUGAUUUGGAAGCUGCGGAUGAUUAGAUAUGUUGGCCAGAUUGGGCAUUUAGCCUGGAUACUGGGGUAUAGCCUGCAUACUAUUCUUAUGAUAACUGACGUGUGGUCUUUAGUGACCACGUAGAGUCAGGACACCUGCUUAACCUUCCAUCCAAAAUACUCCUCCAAACGCAGGACAAUGUCACCUUCACUUCCCUGGGACAUUGGGGUGCACAGGCAUAUUAGACAACAGCUCACACUGACCCAAGCAGGGGAAGAGCUGGAUUGGUACGGUGUUACCAAACGUCUCUCUUCAGCCUUCUCUAUAAGCACUUUCAUGUUGCUGACUGAACCAUACAUUCUGCAUCCUUUCUACUCCUGCUGCAUGCUGUACAGAUGGAGGAAAUUAAGCACGUAUGUCUGUCUACAUAAAGGUCUUGUAGACACAAUCCACUGGGCAAAAACGGAUUCAAUCAACAAAAGAAAAAGAGUGGAGAGGAAGGACAGGAGGAAGACCAGACAGGAGGAAGACCAGAC
This is a long non-coding RNA of Esox lucius (northern pike), 678 nucleotides long. RefSeq lists it as uncharacterized. NCBI's taxonomy places the organism in Eukaryota, Metazoa, Chordata, Actinopteri, Esociformes, Esocidae. The transcript is spliced from 3 exons. The record is from RefSeq and is a predicted model, not a curated record.